UACGGAGGGUGCAAGCGUUAUCCGGAUUCACUGGGUUUAAAGGGUGCGUAGGCGGAUAGGUAAGUCCGUGGUGAAAUCCUGCAGCUUAACUGCAGAACUGCCAUGGAUACUACUUAUCUUGAAUAUCGUGGAGGUUAGCGGAAUAUGUCAUGUAGCGGUGAAAUGCUUAGAUAUGACAUAGAACACCCAUUGCGAAGGCAGCUAACUACGCGAUAAUUGACGCUGAUGCACGAAAGCGUGGGGAUCAAACAGG
RNAcentral lists this ribosomal RNA (253 nucleotides) under uncultured bacterium. RNAcentral's name for it is "partial 16S ribosomal RNA". It matches the Rfam family "Bacterial small subunit ribosomal RNA", at positions 524 to 776 of the family's 1533-position model. The record is from RNAcentral.